CCUCCCUCGGAGAGAAUGGAAAAAACAAGGAGUGGUUAUGUGAUUCCCCACAAGCAGGAGGAGAAGCGCACGGGAGAGAAAGGAAUAGCAGGGAGGGUUGGGAGGGAGGGGGGGGGGGGCGUUUCCCUGCACAGUAUAGCCUAUUCUCACACUUCAGCAUGGAUACAAUGAAUGGCAUAUGGAGCGGCUUAUUCAGGGGAGCUGACAAAAAGGUGGACAUGGCGCUCUUGGUGAGAACAGAAGACACGUCCAGUUGAGUUGUCAUCAGCAGCAGCCCCAUCAGACAUGGACAGUUGGGUGGAAGGAGGAAGAGGCGAGGAAAGAUGGAGAGAGAGAGAGAGAGAGAGAUGAGGAGAGAGGACUAGAAGAGUAUAGGUGCUGUCCUUAAAGAUUUGCUUCCACACAGACCCCCCUCCUUCCACGCUGCAAUCUUAUUCAGAGUGCAGGAGCUGAAGGGAUGCACACAGAAAAGGAGAAUGAGCCCCAGAGCUGAGAGGCGAGAGAAGGGAAUGGAGGGGAGGAGGUGGGCCUCUUUGCUCCGGUCUCGACCACGGGUAUUCUUGGGUUGAUAAUACAGAUGUGGAUGUUAUUGCUUGAGAAUACGCGUAGUCGAGUGGAAGCUUAAUCAUCUACAGUGGACCAAAAGCAGAGCACUAUUCAGUAGACUACAAUGGCAGAGACCAGGCAGACACAUACACACGUAUAGCCAAGCUGAGGUGGUGACACAGACAUGGGGUGGAUUUUAAUUAAGCACCCAGAGGUGACGUUUUAUGGGAAAGGGCUUAUUUUGUUCAAUCAGAAAGGUUUUUAAAUAGAAUGCAAUCAGGGCUAGCCAGGUGCCCAAAUCAAAUCCAGCCACUGAAAAGGUUUUAUCAUCGUAGGUUUAUCAACCAUGUCACUCUUUACACCUGUGGAGGAAAUGAGUUUGUGUCGCUGGCCAGAUUCAGACCCUCCUGCAGAGGCGCUGGUGAGGAAGACUUGCACCAUGCCACUAAGCUAAACCCCCAGGCAUUAGUUCAGGGAGCUUAACACAAAAGUCUCCUGACUCAGACGUUAAUUCCAAGCCUUCUUGAUUACAUACCCUUGUCAGUCAGUUGUGCACACAAGUGAGCCUAUAAUCUUAUCAGUUGAUGAGUGUCUUUCACAGUCCUUCACACUUUGCAUCCAACAUUUUCCUCACGGUGACCAGGAAUUUGAUGUUUGCAAAAUUGUGGGUCCUCAGACGUAAACGGCUGCAAUACCUUGGCAUGGUACAUCAUAACUGUGCGUAACCAUCAUCCCACUGCACUACAAACUAGUAUUGCACUCCUAUUUUUGAUUCCCUGGCUCAUGCUAAAAAUGUGUGAGAGUUUGAUGCCUGUAGCAGCAACAGGAGACAGUAACACAUGAGGACAUGUCAAGGCUUGCACCCGUGGCUGACAUUUCAGCAUUCGGCUCAGCUGACUGGCUGUCAUGAUGGAGACUCAGACCCUCACGCACACACACAUACAAAUACACACACAUAUAUAAACUGCAUGUGGGUUCAAAUGAUCUAUAUUCCAGUAGGGAAAUCGGGGAUUGAUGGAUUUUAUGAAAACAAGCGUACAGAUAGAUCGCCAUAUGUAUGAAAGCACACACAUUUUAAGUAGGUUCACUGGGUCCGUAUGCCAGUGGGGAAAUAAGGGACUGAUUGAUUCUAUGGGUAACUAUUUUUAGUCAGAAUGAUGGAUGUUUAUGUCUUUUAUUGAUCAAGUUGAGGUGUGGGUUUGAAGAAUUCUUAGACGUCAGGGCAUGCUGAUUAAUCAGGUAGCAAAGGUGUUAGAAUAAAACAUCCUGAAUUACAUUUUUGGUACAUUAGCAUUAUUGCUAAGUAUUAUAAAUUAGAAAAUCAACAUUUCACUGCAAAUUCAGCAAUAUAUUAGCAUUUGUUUGCAAAUGUGCCCAUGAUAAAUUACACUCUUAUCAUUUAUUAUUCCAUGAUUUCUUACAACUGCGUAAGCAAAUCUCUUAUUUAUUAGCACAGUGUAUAAUUCUAAUUUAUAUGAAUUUCACUCUGACACUGUGUAAACUUGUUGAUUGGGCAAAGCCAUUUCUGUGGUUUUGUGUGUAUUUGUGUAUGCAUGUGUGUGUGCUUCUAAGCAACAAAAUGACUAUUGUGAGCACAGCUCCAGGUGCCUAGCAACCGAAUCGCUCUGUUUCCUUGGCAACAGUUGCCUUGCACUCACUGUGUGGGUGAUUGGCAGCCUUGACAACGGAGACGGAGUGACACUUGACCUCGCGUGCUGAAUGGGAGAGGAGAAAGAAGGAGCGAGAAAUAGAAGAGAGGGGGAGGGCGUGGGAUGGGACGCGCAGAGACAGAGGAGAGACUAAGUGAUAAUCAUUCUCCAUUGUAAUCAUCUUCCAGCAUGUUUCAUAAGGCGUCGUCAAUACCUCUCCAGCUGGGGUCCAUCAUCAAACACAAUACACAGUGCAGUGCGCGCAUGCACGGACACACUCUUCCUGGGUGGAGAGCCCAGGCAGGCACUCCACAUCUCAUCUAUUAUCACUCAGCGCUGCCUGGUGCACAGCCUCGCUACACUGUGUCUUCUUUCAUUUGUGAUCUGCUACAUCCUGUGCUCUGUGGGGAUGAAUGGAUACUGGACUCCUAAAAAUGUGUCACGGUCACAGAUGCCACAGGAGAGUAGCUCAGAAGCUGUGCCCUGAGACGUUUUAUUUUGAAAUAGGUAGUACCAGUGUCUUUGACACCUCAGAAUUUAAGUGCUGUGAUUAUAAAAAAAAAAAAAAAUGUAUUUUUGUGGCUGUCUAUAGAUUCACCAGCUGAGGGUGUCCCAUGUAGUAGGAUUUAAUCAAAAAGCAUGUUCAUAGCUGACAAUACCUCUGUAUAGUGAUAAAUCAAAACUGGAACAGUGGAACAGUACAAAUAACUAGCUUUUAUUGUUGAUGCCAUUAAGACAAAGUCAAAUAAAAGCCCCCGUUUGAAAAUUGA
Molecule: long non-coding RNA, 2965 nt
Organism: Seriola aureovittata
Lineage: Eukaryota; Metazoa; Chordata; Actinopteri; Carangiformes; Carangidae
Exons: 3
Source: RefSeq, a predicted model, not a curated record